Molecule: ribosomal RNA, 497 nt
Filed under: uncultured bacterium
Lineage: Bacteria
Description: partial 16S ribosomal RNA
Rfam family: Bacterial small subunit ribosomal RNA
Source: RNAcentral
GAUGAACGCUGGCGGCGUGCCUAAUACAUGCAAGUCGAGCGAACAGACGAGGAGCUUGCUCCUCUGACGUUAGCGGCGGACGGGUGAGUAACACGUGGAUAACCUACCUAUAAGACUGGGAUAACUUCGGGAAACCGGAGCUAAUACCGGAUAAUAUAUUGAACCGCAUGGUUCAAUAGUGAAAGACGGUUUUGCUGUCACUUAUAGAUGGAUCCGCGCCGCAUUAGCUAGUUGGUAAGGUAACGGCUUACCAAGGCGACGAUGCGUAGCCGACCUGAGAGGGGGGUAGGCCACACUGGAACGGAGACACGGUCCAGGCUCCUACGGGAGGCAGCAGUAGGGAAUCUUCCGCAGUGGGCGAAAGCCUGACGGAGCAACGCCGCGUGAGUGAUGAAGGUCUUCGGAUCGUAAAACUCUGUUAUUAGGGAAGAACACAUGUGUAAGUAACUAUGCACGUCUUGACGGUACCUAAUCAGAAAGCCACGGCUAACUACGUG